This 143-nucleotide small RNA is filed under the name Escherichia coli. Its description in RNAcentral is "QUAD RNA". It matches the Rfam family "Short Intergenic Abundant RNA". From Rfam's summary of the family: This family contains multiple ncRNA from E. coli that were identified in a large scale screen of E. coli, were they were called candidates 43,55 and 61. These RNAs have also been identified by other groups and called QUAD RNAs. Lineage: Bacteria; Pseudomonadati; Pseudomonadota; Gammaproteobacteria; Enterobacterales; Enterobacteriaceae. The record is from RNAcentral.
UUGACAAUCUUAUCGUGAAGGCAUACUUUCAGGAGUGAGGGUAGAGCGGGGUUUCCCCCGCCCUGGUAGUCUUAGUAUGCUGGAAAGCUAAUCACUAAGAGCACCACGAUGAUGAGUAGCUUCAUCAUGACCCUUUCCUUAUU